GUAGAAGCAGCAGGGCUGGAGGAGGAGGUAGAAACAGCAACGGCGGGGCAGGCACCCGAUUAAAACUGCGUCUUCAAAAGGACGCAGUAGGAGGCCUGGCUCUGUGUUUCUGUGAUGUUCGGUGAUCUGAGCUCGAUAAUAAAGUCUGUACACACAGAAGUCAAACAAGAUUAGCCCCGCCUUGGGAUCCCCUGAGUACCACCGACGCAAGAGUGAAUCUUCAAUCGGAGGAAAGGAAAGAGGAAUCUAAUCCUGAAGACGGGAUGCUGUACCCUCAUUGACAGUGGAUCUUGCAAGCGCUGACCAUAAUCUUCCCAGGCAACCACCGCAGCAGGAUGUUGUGAUACAAAAUCAUCUUUCCCGAGGCAAAGAAGAGGGGAUAUGCUGUGAAGCCUGUGAAGACAGAACCAACAUACUACCUGUUACACUUCAGCAACUUCAGCACCCCCACCCACACUCUGGUUGGUUGGCUGGCUGGCUGCGACUAGGGGACACAGCCAAUGGUGUGCCACAACAUGAAGACGCUGCAAUUUGAUUGGAGGAGAAGAGGCCGGCGACCGUAGAAGCAGAAGAGGAAGAGGAGAGCCAGUCGAGGAGGGUGUGUGUGUGUGUGUGUGUGUGUGUGUGUGUGUGUGGUAGGUGGUCACCUCAAGGUCACUGCCUUGCUGAAGUAAUUUUUUAUGGAUCCAACCAGAUUACUUGUCCUGUCUUCCUACACUAAAUUAUACUUUACCUACUGUGUCAUCCAC
Oncorhynchus tshawytscha (Chinook salmon) is the source of this 749-nucleotide long non-coding RNA. The record is from Ensembl. Lineage: Eukaryota; Metazoa; Chordata; Actinopteri; Salmoniformes; Salmonidae.